GAUGAAGAACGCAGCGAAAUGCGAUAAGUAAUGUGAAUUGCAGAAUUCAGUGAAUCAUCGAAUCUUUGAACGCACAUUGCGCCCCUUGGUAUUCCGAGGGGCAUGCCUGUUCGAGCGUCAUUAUAACCCUCAAGCUCAGCUUGGUGUUGGGGCCUGCUGCACUGGCAGCCCUUAAAAUCAGUGGCGGCGCCAUCUGGCUCUAAGCGUAGUAAUUCUUCUCGCUAUGGAGUCCUGGUGGAUGCUUGCCAUCAACCCCCAAUUUUUCUAUGGUUGACCUCGGAUCAGGUAGGGAUACCCGCUGAACUUAAGCAUAUCGAUAAGCGGAGGA
RNAcentral lists this unclassified non-coding RNA (328 nucleotides) under soil metagenome. RNAcentral's name for it is "partial contains 5.8S ribosomal RNA, internal transcribed spacer 2, and large subunit ribosomal RNA". The stretch from base 1 to 120 matches the Rfam family "5.8S ribosomal RNA", at positions 35 to 154 of the family's 154-position model. The record is from RNAcentral.